UGAUAUACAUGAUCGAGUUUGAAACUUAAUAAUUUAAGAUUUUAGAAAAAAAUUUGGAUUUGACAUGUAUACCAAAUCCCUUUGGUAAAAGGACUCUCUUGUCUCUUUGAUAAGUGGUAUAAGCUCUUGGAGAGUAUCACUAAUUUUGCACGGAACUUGAGGUGGAGUAAUGGAUUUGAGACAAGCGCGUUGUGCUUGAAAAGUGAGCUCUUGAAGGAGGAGUAAUCAGGAUGAAGCUUGAUAGGAAAGUAAUGGAUUGAACUUAAGAAGUUGAAAUCGACUCGCACAGGAAGGGGGGAGAUUAUUGAGGAUCAUUAAGGUUUAAGUCUUAUAUAAAAUAAUUAGUAAGAGGUAGAAUUGGUAUAAUUAAUCUCAUAAGAUUAUGAAAAACUUCUUUUUCACAAGAUCAUAGCUCAUGUACACCUCUGGCUUUUGUGGGAACUGUUUGUGAAUAUCUGUUAGGCAUCCAAACAAGAUAGAUAUGGACAAGCGCCUCUGACCCAUGGGAUGAAAUGGUCAGGCAUUACACGUACAACUAGGAUGAUAUAGAAAUCCCAUGAUUCGGUUACUGUUAUCAUAAAAACAUUAUACUGAAAUUGCAAGACUAUUGCGUAUCUUCAUAUAUUGUUGUCAUUGCAAUUUGUUUACCACCUC
RNAcentral lists this long non-coding RNA (654 nucleotides) under Phoenix dactylifera (date palm). RNAcentral describes it as "long non-coding RNA (PDAC_LNC002425)". The record is from RNAcentral. Lineage: Eukaryota; Viridiplantae; Streptophyta; Magnoliopsida; Arecales; Arecaceae.